GAUGUGAUGUUGACAUUACAGGACCGCCUUUCCCUGAGGUACAUUGAGCACUUUGCUCUUGUCCUUGAGUAUGCCGGGCCAGAACAGAAUCACAAGUUUCUGCUUCUUCAGGACAAGCAACCGCUGGCUUAUGUGGUACAGCGGACACACUAUCACGGAAUGAAAUGCCUCUUCCGAAUAAGCUUCUUUCCCAAAGACCCUGUGGAGCUGCUGCGUCGGGAUCCUGCUGCUUUUGAGUAUCUAUACAUCCAGGUAGAGUCUGGCUUGGGGAUACACAGACAGACCAGUGGACAAAGAAGCAGGCAGGCUGUUCUGCCAUCACAAUGAAAUAGCUAUGUAAGUUUUUCCAACCUCCAGGUAGCCCUGAAGGCCCUUUCCUUCCUCUUCUGCUACCAUCGUAGGCCAUGGCCAAGUUGGCUGGCCUGGUGACCUGAGCUGGCUGUGGCUCAAAGUCCUGUCUAUUUGUCCACUCAGAUCUCAUCAGUUUUCAGAAACAAGCAAUCCCAGUAACUCUGGCAUCCUCACAGGAUCCUAAAGUUUAACAAGCCCAUUUCGGUUUCAACGGGUCCCAACCCCCAAUACCUAGCUCCAGUAUGAGAUGAUUCCCAAUUCAGUUUAUCCAGAAACAUUUACUAGACACUUACUCUGGGUUAAGCCCUAUGCUAGGUACUAGCAAUCAGAAGUGAAUGAAGAACUGUCCUGGCUCACUAGAGCUUAUAUGUGCCUGAAUAAAUAUGACAGCAGCAGGGUGCAAUGAAGAUGAGGGCACUCAGGAAGCAUUUUUCCAACUCUACACAAGAGAGAUGGUGCAGGCUUCAUGGAAAAAGUGAUAUAUGCAUGCUCUUAGCCUUGAAGAAUGAAUGAGAGUUUGUUGUGUAGAGAGAUGGAAUGGAGGGGGCAUACUCUAAGCAAAGGGCCUUGUAUUUACAAAGCCAUGGUGGCAUG
Molecule: small RNA, 945 nt
Filed under: Pan troglodytes (chimpanzee)
Lineage: Eukaryota; Metazoa; Chordata; Mammalia; Primates; Hominidae
Description: processed transcript
Source: RNAcentral